CUGUGGGCGGGGACAGGAAGCUGCGCCUUUGGUUUCAGUGUGUGAGAGCCUGUUCAAACCGCGGCUCCCUCUCUCACUCACAGCCCACGUCCCUAUUUAAACAGCGCUCACUGCGGCUCCGGACAAAGCCGGCCUGAGCUGAAGCCGCCGAUCUCAACAGUGUCCAAGUCCGGCUCAGUGUUCAGGGCGAUGGGGGUCGUUCCUUAUUUCUGUCUCCUCCUGUCUUGUCUGGCAGGCGUGCGGUCCGACAUAGUGCUGACACAGCCCGAGUCAGCGGUGGUAAAGUCCGGAGAGACCCUCAGACUGACCUGUGCAGUCAGUGGGUUCGAUGUCCACAACUACUGGAUGCACUGGGUGAAACAGGUCCCCGGGAAAGGGCUGGAGUGGCUGGUAGCGUCUGGUAGUGGAAGUAACGAGCAUUAUGCGCCUGGAGUCCGGAGCCGGUUCACUGUUUCCAAGGGCAGCAGCACCGCCUACCUGCAAAUGACCAGCCUGAGACUGGACGACACGGCCACCUAUUACUGUGCGAGAGGGUGGUACUGGGGCGGGGGAACCUCGCUGACAGUGACUUCAGAGGUCAAGUCUGUGCCAUCAGUCUACAUCACUCCUUCCUGCAACAGAGAAUCUGACCAAGGCAUCAGGCUCCUCUGUCUGGUCAAGGACUACCAGCCGGAGAGCAUCAGUCAGACAUGGUCCACUAACAGUGGGGACAUCACCACAGGAAUCAAGAAAUACCCGGCGGUGUUGGGGCAAAAUUCAAAGUACACGAUGAGCAGCUUGCUCGAAGUCUCUGCGGCAGACUGGAAGAAUAAAGUCUACUACUGCAAGGCCGGGUACAAGCCAAACGAGAUUAAGACAGCGGAGUGGCGGAAACCUCAACCUCAACCUCCGAAGCUCAGCUCCCUUGUUCCAUCCCGGGAGGUGAUCCACAGUCAAGCAAAUGCUGUCCUGGGCUGUGUGAUAUCUGGAUUCUCUCCUGACAACGUUCAGGUAUCCUGGAAAAAAGGUGGAUCUGCCCAAGUAGGCUUCGUUCUCCCUUCCUCUCGGAGAUCUGGUGGUGGAUUUGAAACAAUCACUUACCUGACAGUGCCUGUGAAGGAAUGGAAGAAACAGAAAUAUACUUGUGAAGUGAAUCACACACCUUCUGGUUUCAUUGGUCAGGUCAACAUGACGUAUCAAGAGGAAUUGUCUGUCUUUAUUCAAAAUCCCGACAUUGAAGAGAUGUGGAUCGACAAGACUGCUACUGUGAAGUGCAUGGUUCUCUGUACAGAUCCUGAAGAUAUCCACAUCUCUUGGCACGUGGGUGGGAAGGAGAAAACUAAAGGAAUUCACACCCAUCAAGCAAAGAGGGACGGGUCCCGAUACAGAGUGCUCAGCGAACUCCAGAUCAGUGUGGAGGAGUGGUUCAGUGGGGUGGAGUACGAGUGCUCUGCUCAGGAAUCUCCUUCAUCAUCCCCAGUGUCAGCACGGACCAAUAGUACCAAAGUCGAGAUAAAAAGUCCCAAGGUCAGACUGCUGCCUCCACCUCAGGAAGAGACCAAGAAUAGGAAAACAGCCACACUGGAGUGUGUGGUCUCUGGAUUCUACCCGGACCAAAUAAAUGUCAUCUGGGAGAAACACAACACCGUGAUCACCUCCAACACCAGCGCUACACCGACUGCUCUGGAGCAGGGGUGGAGUUUCAGUGCCAGACACUUCCUGACUAUGAGAUUACAGGAGUGGAAUACAGAAUCAGUCUUCAGCUGUACAGUGAUGCAUCUCCCCUCCAACAGCAGUAUCAAGAAGCAAGUGAAGAACGUCCUAGAUGACUGUCCAGAUACCCACCCCUCAGUCACUUUAAGCAAACCAUCCUUCGAAGAGAUUUGGACAAAGAGGACAGCAAUCAUUCUGUGUGAGGUGGUUCACAGUGAUUUACAGGGAUUCAGUGUAACCUGGCAGGUGGACGGAAGGAAGAGGGAAGAUGGGGUGAUGACUCUGGAUCCAGACAGCAACGGAGGUGAAGACAAGAUCACCAGCAGACUGACAGUCCCUGCUGCAGAGUGGAACAGUGGGGCUGAGUUCUCAUGUGUGAUAGAGGACGAGAGUUUGCCAACACCAGUGAAGAAAUCCAUCAAGAAGGACACAGGUGAUGUUGUGACUCACCCUCACGUCUACCUCCUCCCCCCUUCAUCAGAUGAGGUAGACACCGAUCAGACUGUGACCUUGAUGUGUCUGGUCACCAAGUUCUCUCCCGUAGACAUCUAUGUGGUCUGGAUGGCCAAUGACACCCUUCUGAAGACAGUGUUUGUGAACCAGCCAGUGACCAAGGACCCCAGGAAAGGCUGGAACACAAUGACCAGUCAGCUGAAGGUUUCUCCUGAGGAGUGGAAGAGCGGCACCACUUUCUCCUGUGUGGUGGGUCAUGAGUCGCUCACAACCAACCUGUUCCGAAGCAUCAAUAAAUCUCACAGCAAACCCACCCUGGUCAAUGUCUCACUUGUUCUGACUGAUAGUUUUAAAUCUUGUGUGUAACAUUAUGUGAUUCAAUCCAUGUAACCCUAGUUUUGUUAGUUUUAUCAUUAUUAAUUCUCACAGAGGAUUAUUUAGCUGAUUAAAACAUGAUUAAAAUCUGGACCUUUCAAAAUAAUUAAGAAUGAAAUUAAGAUCAAGAACCAAAUUAAACUACAAACAAGAUUCACCAUAGAUCUGAGUUUGUGUGUACACUCUCAGACCUUUUGCCACAUUUGAAUGCAUAUCAUCCCUGUGUGGUACUGCAGAAUGUAUUACAUCUUUGUCAAUGUACCGAUCCAAGUUCAAUAAAUGUGAU
Non-coding RNA from Hypanus sabinus (Atlantic stingray), 2806 nucleotides. The record is from the annotation of a RefSeq genome assembly. Lineage: Eukaryota; Metazoa; Chordata; Chondrichthyes; Myliobatiformes; Dasyatidae.